Molecule: ribosomal RNA, 253 nt
Filed under: uncultured bacterium
Lineage: Bacteria
Description: partial 16S ribosomal RNA
Rfam family: Bacterial small subunit ribosomal RNA
Source: RNAcentral
UACAUGGGGUGCAAACGUUGCUCGGAAUCAUUGGGCGUAAAGCGCGCGUAGGCGGUUACUUAUGUCGGGUGUGAAAUCUCGGAGCUUAACUCCGAAACUGCAUUCGAUACUGCCGUGCUUGAGGACUGGAGAGGAGACUGGAAUUUACGGUGUAGCGGUGAAAUGCGUAGAUAUCGUAAGGAAGACCAGUGGCGAAGGCGGGUCUCUGGACAGUUCCUGACGCUGAGGCACGAAGGCCAGGGGAGCAAACGGG